Molecule: ribosomal RNA, 166 nt
Filed under: uncultured bacterium
Lineage: Bacteria
Description: partial 16S ribosomal RNA
Rfam family: Bacterial small subunit ribosomal RNA (bases 37-166)
Source: RNAcentral
GCUCGGCUGGGGGGGGGAAUCUGGAACAAGCCUCCCGCUGUCGAUGAAGGCCUACGGGUUGUAAGCACUUUCUGGCAGGGAAAAAUAGGUCUGGCUAAUAUCUGGACUGAAUGACGGUACCUGCAGAAUAAGCACCGGCUAACUACGUGCCAGCAGCCGCGGUAAU